GUUGAUUUCAAGCUGCUGGGAUCAACAUUGACUGUUAAGCAGUGAAAACAUGCUGACAUAUUUUUUUUGGUCUUUUUUCAUAGACCGAAUUAAAGCUGCAUUUCAGUUCCUGAAAGGUAUCCCUCUUAUUUUGUCACAUUCAGCCUGACAUGACCGCCGUUGCAUUAACUCAUUUAUAUUCAAUUUUAUUUUCCAGAAAAAGUCUGCUCAUCAAAAAAGUAUGAUGUCUAAAGUUUCAAGGAACCAGAAUGACUGCGACGCAGAAACACCACCCAUCACCAGAGAUGACUGUGGCACCAGAAGUGUGGCUUGUAUGGCACACUGUGUAUUUAUUUAUAGGGCGAAAGCAGCAACAAAAGCAAGCAGAAUGAAUGUACACUACCAGUCAAAAGUUUGGACACACCUUCCCGUUCAGUGUUUUUUAUUUGUUUGUAUUAUUUUCUACAAUGUAGAUUAAUACUGAGGAUUAACAACAUAAUUCCAUAUGUACUCUUUUAUAGUUUUGAUGUCUCCAGUAUUAAUCUACAAUGUAUAAAAUAAUUAAAUAAAAAAACAUUGAAUGAGAAGGUGUGUCCAAACUUUUGACUGGUUGUGUAUUUUGCGGGGAUAUGCCGGGGAUGUUCAGUAUUUAUCUGUGUCUGAAACAAAACUGUUGUUAUUUUUCUGAACUUGUGUGUUUUUAUUGUUAUUGUCACAUGGGAACUUUAUUCCCCUUACAACUACAAAACAGAAUGCAGUAAAACAAAAAAAAGCCCAGCCACCAUGGAAAAUUCCAACAAUAUUAGCGAACAUUCCCUAAAAGUUCCACUUCUGUUUCUAAGAAAAAGUUUUAAUGUUGAAAAGAACUUCAUCUAAUGUUCCUGUAAAGCUAAAUGUUAACCUCAUGUUUUGGCUACACAUUAUGUUAAAUGAUAGCAAAUGAAGAACAUUCUCAUUUUAACAUUUGAAAAAUGGUUGAUAAUGACCUGAGAUGUCAGAAUGUUUCCCAAGAAAUGUUUCUGCAACGUAAUGUGUUAAUAAAAGUUAAUUUUCGGGAACAUUCUGAAGCUGUUUUGGGAAUAUUGAUGAGGUAAUAGAAAGGUUUCAUAUAAAACGUUUGCAUUGUGUUACAAGUUAAUGAUUCAAUAAACGUUUUAAGGAUGUAAUUGCAGCUUGAUAGAACAAAACAUUCUUGAAACAAGAAAACUAAACAAAAAAAAUUUCCCGCCAAAACGUUUUUAGCGGGAAUAUGCUUAGAAUCACUGAAC
Molecule: long non-coding RNA, 1247 nt
Organism: Amphiprion ocellaris (clown anemonefish)
Lineage: Eukaryota; Metazoa; Chordata; Actinopteri; Pomacentridae
Source: Ensembl